Sorghum bicolor (sorghum) is the source of this 688-nucleotide long non-coding RNA. RefSeq lists it as uncharacterized. The transcript has 3 exons. The record is from RefSeq and is a predicted model, not a curated record. Lineage: Eukaryota; Viridiplantae; Streptophyta; Magnoliopsida; Poales; Poaceae.
CGAUGGCAAAGGUGGUCCAUGGGCCAGACUAUGAUCCAAGCACCCAGGACUUUGAUGGAGAAGUAGUCAUGAGGGUGGGAGGAGGAAAGAAGCAUGGGCGGUACUGGCUCGGCGAUGGCAUAAUCGAUACAGCCACUACUCCCUCCCUCUCUCAGAUCCGGGCAAGAAGCACGAGCUCAAGCCCCGCCAUACGACCUCGGCCGGACACUGCACAGCACCGGAUGGAGGCACUCUAGGUCCAGCUGGAAGAAGAGAAGAGGCGACGGGAGGAGUUGGAGGCGAGGAUCGCAGCCGAGCGGGAGGAGUUGGAGGCGAGGAUCGCAGCCGAGCGGGAGGCCGAGCAGCGGAGGUUCGCAGACAUUCUACAGUACAUGCAAAGUCUUGGCGCCGCCCAGGGAAUGCCUCCACCACCUGGGCUAUUCGCUCUACCUCCACCUCCCGGUGCAACUACUCCUAAUCAAUCGGCGGCAUCGAAUGAAGUGGCUCAUGCUACAAAUCCUUCACCAAAUCAGUCUCGUUGUCCGUGAUGAUAUUUGUAGUUGUUAAUGGUACUUUUAUUUGCACUUCUUAUGGUGAAUGAUGGAGCACUGGGAUUACUUGUGAACCUAUUGUGAUAUACUGUGACUUAUGUGAUGUUUGUGAACCUAUUGUGAUAUACUGUGACUUAUGUGAUGUUUGUGAUAUGUAU